RNAcentral lists this ribosomal RNA (500 nucleotides) under uncultured bacterium. RNAcentral's name for it is "partial 16S ribosomal RNA". It matches the Rfam family "Bacterial small subunit ribosomal RNA", at positions 30 to 523 of the family's 1533-position model. The record is from RNAcentral.
AUUGAACGCUGGCGGCAUGCCUUACACAUGCAAGUCGAACGGUAACGCGGGGGCAACCCUGGCGACGAGUGGCGAACGGGUGAGUAAUACAUCGGAACAUAUCCAGUAGCGGGGGAUAACCUAUCGAAAGAUGGACUAAUACCGCAUACGAUCUACGGAUGAAAGCAGGGGACCGCAAGGCCUUGCACUAUUGGAGUGGCCGAUGUCGGAUUAGCUAGUUGGUGGGGUAAAAGCCUACCAAGGCGACGAUCCGUAGCUGGUCUGAGAGGACGAUCAGCCACACUGGAGCUGAGACACGGUCCAGACUCCUACGGGAGGCAGCAGUGGGGAAUUUUGGACAAUGGGCGCAAGCCUGAUCCAGCCAUGCCGCGUGAGUGAAGAAGGCCUUCGGGUUGUAAAGCUCUUUCGGUGAAGACGAAACGGUUAGCGCUAAUAACGCUGACUAAUGAUGGUACUCACAGAAGAAGCACCGGCUAACUACGUGCCAGCCGCCGCAGUAA